Long non-coding RNA from Portunus trituberculatus (swimming crab), 414 nucleotides. RefSeq lists it as uncharacterized. The transcript is spliced from 4 exons. The record is from RefSeq and is a predicted model, not a curated record. NCBI's taxonomy places the organism in Eukaryota, Metazoa, Arthropoda, Malacostraca, Decapoda, Portunidae.
AUUUUGCAUUUAUAAGAAGUUUGAGUGAUAGAGGAAGUGUAUAGGAUGAUGUGGACAUUUUGCGUAGAAGACGUGUGAGAAACCUCGGCCAUUGUUAGCUCUGUGUUGAGAUUGACAGUUUUUGAAGCUUUGUGGAGCAGAGGUGCACCAUGGCUUGCCACAAGGUCACAACUGGUCCCUGGAGAGCCGCUGGUGGUGACGGGCUGCCUGUGCCCUCUCUGCGGCAAACCUCCACAAAUACUCCACUCACCAAGUUCCAGAGGGAGAGGAUCACCGGCCGUACUAAAGGAAGUGGCUCUAUGUAGGGAUGGAACAUGGCAACUGCACCAGCUGGGACACACCUAGCCAACUAUUGUGUUAAGAAUAUGGAGAAAGACGGACCAAGGCAAGAAGAGGAGGAGGAGGAAGAAGAGG